CCCUUAGAUGUUCUGGGCCGCACGCGCGCUACACUGACGGAGGCAGCGAGCAUGUCCUUCGCCGAGAGGUGUGGGGAAUCUUGUGAGUCUCCGUCGUGCUGGGGAUAGAUGGUUGCAAUUGUCGAUCUUGAACGAGGAAUUCCUAGUAAGCGCGAGUCAUCAGCUCGCGCUGAUUGCGUCCCUGCCCUUUGUACACACCGCCCGUCGCUACUACCGAUUGAAUCGUUUAGCGAGAAUUUUGGAUCGGAGCCCUGGUGGGCAGCGAUGUCCGCCUGGGAUUUACCGAGAAAUCAUUCCAGCUUGCCGAUUUAGAGGAAGUAAAAGUCGUAACA
This 332-nucleotide ribosomal RNA is filed under the name uncultured eukaryote. RNAcentral describes it as "partial 18S ribosomal RNA". It matches the Rfam family "Eukaryotic small subunit ribosomal RNA", at positions 1470 to 1796 of the family's 1831-position model. The record is from RNAcentral.